UCUAAUAUGGCAGACUAGUGCAUUGGAUUUAAACCCCAAAAAUAAAGUUUAAACUUUUUUUAGAA
Molecule: transfer RNA, 65 nt
Filed under: Aphthona sp. nwb_00407
Lineage: Eukaryota; Metazoa; Arthropoda; Insecta; Coleoptera; Chrysomelidae
Description: tRNA-Leu
Rfam family: tRNA
About the family: Transfer RNA (tRNA) molecules are approximately 80 nucleotides in length. Their secondary structure includes four short double-helical elements and three loops (D, anti-codon, and T loops).
Source: RNAcentral